Long non-coding RNA from Gopherus flavomarginatus (Mexican gopher tortoise), 455 nucleotides. RefSeq lists it as uncharacterized. The record is from RefSeq and is a predicted model, not a curated record. Lineage: Eukaryota; Metazoa; Chordata; Testudines; Testudinidae. The transcript is spliced from 4 exons.
ACUCUGCUUUCUCCCCGGUGCAGGUCCCAAAGACUCCUUGCACUCUGCUUUCUCCCCGGGCAGGUCCCAAAGACUCCCUGCACUCUGCUUUCUCCCCGGGCAGGUCCCAAAGACCCCCUGCACUCUGCUUUCUCCCCGGGCAGGUCCCAAAGACCCCCUGCACUCUGCUUUCUCCCCAGUGCAGGUCCCAAAGACCCCCUGCACUCUGCUUUCUCCCCGGGCAGGUCCCAAAGACCCCCUGCACUCUGCUUUCUCCCCGGGCAGGUCCCAAAGACUCCCUGCUCUCUGCUUUCCCCAGUGCACAGAAACCCCGGUAAACCCUCAGGCAGUUCCCCUUCCCAGGUGAAGUCGUGGCAGAAACACUCACCCCAUUGCUCGCCAUGCCUUCGCUGCCGUGGCCUGUCUGUGCUAUGUUUGGUAUGUGUAAAAAUGAUGCUACAAAUUGUCUACAAAGU